Molecule: long non-coding RNA, 1168 nt
Filed under: Homo sapiens (human)
Lineage: Eukaryota; Metazoa; Chordata; Mammalia; Primates; Hominidae
Description: HSALNT0362815
Source: RNAcentral
CUCACUUACACUCUUCCAUAAUGAGUCCUUGCCAUGUGGAAGGCACUCUGAAGAAUACAAAUAAGACUGUAAGAUGUAAUUCCUACUUCCACAAAGUAAAGCCCCCUGCAUAUAUGUUUACUGAUGUAAUGCACCUUAAGGUUAAUGACUCAAUGUUCAGUAACUACCAGCAGGAAUUUUCCCAGUAUUCCACAGAGCAUGAAUGGAUCAGGGCAUAUUUGUUUUCAGUCUUGAUAGAGUUGGCUCUUUGAGUGCCGCAGCCGACAGUGAUAGCCCAGCCUCAGCCAAUGUUAACUAGACACAAGCUGCAGAAAAGGCAUGGUGUGAAGUUGAUGAAGAAACCAGUUGAUAUUCAAUAUUGUUCCUGCUUCAGGAGCAACUUACAAAUAACGUGGUGGAACAGAGGACAUACGUCUAGGUAGAUGAUAGUUCAAAGACAUUUGUGGCCAUUAUCAAAUGAAUAGUCUAGAAAAUAAUAAUUAGAACUCAUCAGGGACAAGAAAGAAUCCUAUGGGCAGGGGAAGAUCCUCAGAGGAUGUGGGAUGUGAGCCAAGCUCUGAAGGAAUAAUGUAGAUGGAACCCAGAAUUCCAAGAUUCCAACCUUACUUUCUAGUCAAAACUCUACCAAUUGCCAGUGGUGAAGCUGGUAUAAGCCACGUAUCUCUGAGCCAAUUUUCUUAUCAUCAAAGUGAAGACAAUAGCACCAGCCAUACCUUCCUUAGGGCGUUUUGCAGGCUAAAUGAGAUAGUGGGUCCCUCGUUGGCUGCUCGUCAGAUUUCUCUCUUCAAUUCCAAGCGCAUCUUAUGUAAACAAUAGUGUCUAUGAUAGUGGAUGUGAUUGUGUGCUACCUGGAUCUCCUAGCUGAAAUCCUUCGAAGAAUUUCCUUCAGUCAAUGGGAGCCACCUCCCCUGAGGUUAUGGCUCCAGGUGAAGAUUAAACAGCUGUAGAAGUGUCAUCCAAGAUUGGCCAAUGCUGUUCCUGAGAGUCCUUCCUGGAGAGCCAUCUGCACACAGAUCUCAGUCUCAGAGUCUAUUUCCCAAUGAAUCUAAUCUGAGAGAUCUCUUCAUUUGCUGUUUUUUCCCUGUAUGAAAUAGUUACUUUGUUUUACUUUAUUUUAUUAAGUUCAGUGGUACAUGUGCAGGUGUGUUAUAUAGGUAAAUUGUGUGUC